UGGUGCUUGCAUCAUGAUUUACAUUUGAGUGAGUGGCGAACUGGUGAGUAACACGUGGGAAACCUGCCCAGAAGCGGGGGAUAACACCUGGAAACAGAUGCUAAUACCGCAUAACAACUUGGACCGCAUGGUCCGAGCUUGAAAGAUGGCUUCGGCUAUCACUUUUGGAUGGUCCCGCGGCGUAUUAGCUAGAUGGUGGGGUAACGGCUCACCAUGGCAAUGAUACGUAGCCGACCUGAGAGGGUAAUCGGCCACAUUGGGACUGAGACACGGCCCAAACUCCUACGGGAGGCAGCAGUAGGGAAUCUUCCACAAUGGACGAAAGUCUGAUGGAGCAACGCCGCGUGAGUGAAGAAGGGUUUCGGCUCGUAAAACUCUGUUGUUAAAGAAGAACAUAUCUGAGAGUAACUGUUCAGGUAUUGACGGUAUUUAACCAGAAAGCCACGGCUAACUACGUGCCAGCAGCCGCGGUAAUACGUAGGUGGCAAGCGUUGUCCGGAUUUAUUGGGCGUAAAGCGAGCGCAGGCGGUUUUUUAAGUCUGAUGUGAAAGCCUUCGGCUCAACCGAAGAAGUGCAUCGGAAACUGGGAAACUUGAGUGCAGAAGAGGACAGUGGAACUCCAUGUGUAGCGGUGAAAUGCGUAGAUAUAUGGAAGAACACCAGUGGCGAAGGCGGCUGUCUGGUCUGUAACUGACGCUGAGGCUCGAAAGUAUGGGUAGCAAACAGGAUUAGAUACCCUGGUAGUCCAUACCGUAAACGAUGAAUGCUAAGUGUUGGAGGGUUUCCGCCCUUCAGUGCUGCAGCUAACGCAUUAAGCAUUCCGCCUGGGGAGUACGGCCGCAAGGCUGAAACUCAAAGGAAUUGACGGGGGCCCGCACAAGCGGUGGAGCAUGUGGUUUAAUUCGAAGCUACGCGAAGAACCUUACCAGGUCUUGACAUACUAUGCAAAUCUAAGAGAUUAGACGUUCCCUUCGGGGACAUGGAUACAGGUGGUGCAUGGUUGUCGUCAGCUCGUGUCGUGAGAUGUUGGGUUAAGUCCCGCAACGAGCGCAACCCUUAUUAUCAGUUGCCAGCAUUAAGUUGGGCACUCUGGUGAGACUGCCGGUGACAAACCGGAGGAAGGUGGGGAUGACGUCAAAUCAUCAUGCCCCUUAUGACCUGGGCUACACACGUGCUACAAUGGAUGGUACAACGAGUUGCGAACUCGCGAGAGUAAGCUAAUCUCUUAAAGCCAUUCUCAGUUCGGAUUGUAGGCUGCAACUCGCCUACAUGAAGUCGGAAUCGCUAGUAAUCGCGGAUCAGCAUGCCGCGGUGAAUACGUUCCCGGGCCUUGUACACACCGCCCGUCACACCAUGAGAGUUUGUAACACCCAAAGUCGGUG
RNAcentral lists this ribosomal RNA (1382 nucleotides) under Lactiplantibacillus plantarum. RNAcentral describes it as "bacterial SSU rRNA". It matches the Rfam family "Bacterial small subunit ribosomal RNA", at positions 62 to 1432 of the family's 1533-position model. Lineage: Bacteria; Bacillati; Bacillota; Bacilli; Lactobacillales; Lactobacillaceae. The record is from RNAcentral.